This 780-nucleotide non-coding RNA is filed under the name Pan troglodytes (chimpanzee). The record is from RNAcentral. Lineage: Eukaryota; Metazoa; Chordata; Mammalia; Primates; Hominidae.
UCGCAGCUGGAGAGGCAGGGUCAAGCACGCACGAGAAGCUUCAUGGCGUCAUUGGUUACUCCCAUUGCGAUUACUUCCCCUAGGUGCACUGAGAUUGGUUACUUCGACUAAAGGGGCGGAGACAAGGAAAAGUCAGCCCCCCCCGACCCCGCCUCCUUGAUGAAGGAAGGUUGUGAUUGGUCCGGAGAGGCUGCCGUCGGAUCCUGGCUCUUUGCGGUCUGGGAGGGUGGGCCUUACCUAGACGCCGGAGGGGACCGAUCUCUGUUUCCGCAGGGCUCUGGAGCUGGUGCAGGUUUAAGUCCGUCUCAGACAGUCCCCUCAACCCACAGCCUAAGCCCCUUGCCCUUGGGCCUCCGUGACACAGAACUUGCUUCCUUUUCCUAGGUCGUCCUUCACCUCCCUUCAGGUGUUGCUUCUUUUGUGAAACCUUUUUAGAACCGCUCUAGUGAACCUCUCUUUAACUGGCGAGGAAACCUCUGGGGCCUGAUAAUCAGGCUGUAAUGUGGGACGACAGGAUUAGAAGGACUAGGCACCUGGUGGUCUUGUUCCCUCUUCCAUGAGUCUUGGGUCUCUCAGCUGAAGAGAGCAAAAGUGAAUUUUGGCCGCCUAAGAUUAAUCAACUGAUCUGGGUGUUGAGCAGACGCGCAUUGUUUAGUCCUAGAGCCCCAUUGCCUCCUCCCCCAAAGUUGCACAACCACUGGGCUGAGGGAAAUCUUGUGACCUUGGAGAGAGAAAGGGAGAGACCACAUUAAAAAAAAAAAAAAAAAAGGUUCUAAUGAG